GAUAUGGGAGCUCUGACCUAAAGGCCUUCUUCAAACCAGCGAGAGAAACUAUUAGAAGCCAACCGUGAUCUUAGAGCACACCUGUCCAGAAUCCUAAGAGCACCCUUAGAAGAGCUGAAACAGAAGCUGCAUGCACCAUGUAGAGCGCUCGAAGCACACAGGCAGCACUACAAUGAAGAAGAAACAGAUUCCCGGUGAAUGGAGGGCAUGGAGUGUGUUCAUGGUGUCUUCAGAGAGUAGGGAGCAUUGAGAAAGAUGGAAGAAGGAGCUCUUCAAAGCCUGAAGAUCCUAUCAGUCAUGCUUGAACCGGGCUUCCAUGUAAUGACACGUGGCCGGAAGAGGGCGUCAGAUCCCCUAAAACUGGAGUUACAAGCUGAAUAGAGUGGGGCCCAGAAAAAUGAGGGAACAACUGACGAACAGCUGUCUUGGUGAGGCCUCACAGAAAAUGGAAAAAGAAGGAGAGUAUCCCACACACUUGGUAAGGAGCAAACGACAUUGAUACUAGCGCUAGUGGUUAAUUUUUGGAGGCCAUGUUUGCAGGAAGUGUGUUUAGAAGGGUACGGUAUAUCUAGGUUGAUCAGGUGUUGGCCUAUUUCGCUGAGGAGGUGACAGCAAUUUGGGACAGGAGAAUUUCAACCAGGCAUUUGCCGCAGCCUAAAAGCUGCUUCAGGCGAGAAGAGCAGGGUUAGAAGGAAUUGGAAAACUAGA
Grammomys surdaster is the source of this 708-nucleotide long non-coding RNA. RefSeq lists it as uncharacterized. The record is from RefSeq and is a predicted model, not a curated record. Lineage: Eukaryota; Metazoa; Chordata; Mammalia; Rodentia; Muridae. The transcript is spliced from 3 exons.